This 23-nucleotide microRNA is filed under the name Macaca mulatta (Rhesus monkey). RNAcentral describes it as "mml-miR-7203-5p". Lineage: Eukaryota; Metazoa; Chordata; Mammalia; Primates; Cercopithecidae. The record is from miRBase by way of RNAcentral.
AGGGUGGACUGUCUCAGAGUGGU